RNAcentral lists this ribosomal RNA (1458 nucleotides) under Bacillus pumilus. Its description in RNAcentral is "bacterial SSU rRNA". It matches the Rfam family "Bacterial small subunit ribosomal RNA". Lineage: Bacteria; Bacillati; Bacillota; Bacilli; Caryophanales; Bacillaceae. The record is from RNAcentral.
CCUAUACAUGCAGUCGAGCGGACAGAAGGGAGCUUGCUCCCGGAUGUUAGCGGCGGACGGGUGAGUAACACGUGGGUAACCUGCCUGUAAGACUGGGAUAACUCCGGGAAACCGGAGCUAAUACCGGAUAGUUCCUUGAACCGCAUGGUUCAAGGAUGAAAGACGGUUUCGGCUGUCACUUACAGAUGGACCCGCGGCGCAUUAGCUAGUUGGUGGGGUAAUGGCUCACCAAGGCGACGAUGCGUAGCCGACCUGAGAGGGUGAUCGGCCACACUGGGACUGAGACACGGCCCAGACUCCUACGGGAGGCAGCAGUAGGGAAUCUUCCGCAAUGGACGAAAGUCUGACGGAGCAACGCCGCGUGAGUGAUGAAGGUUUUCGGAUCGUAAAGCUCUGUUGUUAGGGAAGAACAAGUGCGAGAGUAACUGCUCGCACCUUGACGGUACCUAACCAGAAAGCCACGGCUAACUACGUGCCAGCAGCCGCGGUAAUACGUAGGUGGCAAGCGUUGUCCGGAAUUAUUGGGCGUAAAGGGCUCGCAGGCGGUUUCUUAAGUCUGAUGUGAAAGCCCCCGGCUCAACCGGGGAGGGUCAUUGGAAACUGGGAAACUUGAGUGCAGAAGAGGAGAGUGGAAUUCCACGUGUAGCGGUGAAAUGCGUAGAGAUGUGGAGGAACACCAGUGGCGAAGGCGACUCUCUGGUCUGUAACUGACGCUGAGGAGCGAAAGCGUGGGGAGCGAACAGGAUUAGAUACCCUGGUAGUCCACGCCGUAAACGAUGAGUGCUAAGUGUUAGGGGGUUUCCGCCCCUUAGUGCUGCAGCUAACGCAUUAAGCACUCCGCCUGGGGAGUACGGUCGCAAGACUGAAACUCAAAGGAAUUGACGGGGGCCCGCACAAGCGGUGGAGCAUGUGGUUUAAUUCGAAGCAACGCGAAGAACCUUACCAGGUCUUGACAUCCUCUGACAACCCUAGAGAUAGGGCUUUCCCUUCGGGGACAGAGUGACAGGUGGUGCAUGGUUGUUGUCAGCUCGUGUCGUGAGAUGUUGGGUUAAGUCCCGCAACGAGCGCAACCCUUGAUCUUAGUUGCCAGCAUUCAGUUGGGCACUCUAAGGUGACUGCCGGUGACAAACCGGAGGAAGGUGGGGAUGACGUCAAAUCAUCAUGCCCCUUAUGACCUGGGCUACACACGUGCUACAAUGGACAGAACAAAGGGCUGCAAGACCGCAAGGUUUAGCCAAUCCCAUAAAUCUGUUCUCAGUUCGGAUCGCAGUCUGCAACUCGACUGCGUGAAGCUGGAAUCGCUAGUAAUCGCGGAUCAGCAUGCCGCGGUGAAUACGUUCCCGGGCCUUGUACACACCGCCCGUCACACCACGAGAGUUUGCAACACCCGAAGUCGGUGAGGUAACCUUUAUGGAGCCAGCCGCCGAAGGUGGGGCAGAUGAUUGGGGUGAAGUCGAA